GCCGAAGUGGUGGAAUUGGUAGACACACCAUCUUGAGGGGGUGGCGACCCACGGUCGUGCGAGUUCGAGUCUCGCCUUCGGCACCA
This 86-nucleotide transfer RNA is filed under the name Pseudomonadota bacterium. RNAcentral's name for it is "Proteobacteria bacterium tRNA-Leu". It matches the Rfam family "tRNA". Rfam says of the family: Transfer RNA (tRNA) molecules are approximately 80 nucleotides in length. RNAcentral also lists the same sequence under 1 other name. Lineage: Bacteria; Pseudomonadati; Pseudomonadota. The record is from RNAcentral.